GUGGCUAGUAUCGGAUUACUGGGCGUAAGCGUGCGCAGGCGGAUUGUUAAGCAAGACGUGAAAUCCCCGGGCUUAACCUGGGAAUGGCGUUUUGAACUGGCAGUCUAGAGUGUGUCAGAGGGGGGUGGAAUUCCACGUGUAGCAGUGAAAUGCGUAGAGAUGUGGAGGAACACCAAUGGCGAAGGCAGCCCCCUGGGAUAACACUGACGCUCAUGUACGAAAGCGUGGGUAGCAAACAGGAUUAGAUACCCUGGUAGUCCACGCCCUAAACGAUGUCAACUGGUUGUUGGGGGAGUGAAAUCCCUUAGUAACGAAGCUAACGCGUGAAGUUGACCGCCUGGGGAGUACGGUCGCAAGAUUAAAACUCAAAGGAAUUGACGGGGACCCGCACAAGCGGUGGAUGAUGUGGAUUAAUUCGAUGCAACGCGAAAAACCUUACCUACCCUUGACAUGUCCGGAAUCCUGCAGAGAUGCGGGAGUGCCCGAAAGGGAAUCGGAACACAGGUGCUGCAUGGCUGUCGUCAGCUCGUGUCGUGAGAUGUUGGGUUAAGUCCCGCAACGAGCGCAACCCUUAUCAUUAGUUGCUACGCAAGGGCACUCUAAUGAGACUGCCGGUGACAAACCGGAGGAAGGUGGGGAUGACGUCAAGUCCUCAUGGCCCUUAUGGGUAGGGCUUCACACGUCAUACAAUGGUCGGUACAGAGGGUUGCCAAGCCGCGAGGUGGAGCCAAUCCCAGAAAGCCGAUCGUAGUCCGGAUUGUUCUCUGCAACUCGAGAGCAUGAAGUCGGAAUCGCUAGUAAUCGCGGAUCAGCAUGUCGCGGUGAAUACGUUCCCGGGUCUUGUACACACCGCCCGUCACACCAUGGGAGUGGAAUCUGCCAGAAGUAGGUAGCCUAACCGCAAGGGGGGCGCUUACCACGGUGGGUUUCAUGACUGGGGUGAAGUCGUAACAAGGUAAC
This 960-nucleotide ribosomal RNA is filed under the name uncultured bacterium. RNAcentral describes it as "bacterial SSU rRNA". It matches the Rfam family "Bacterial small subunit ribosomal RNA", at positions 531 to 1500 of the family's 1533-position model. The record is from RNAcentral.